RNAcentral lists this unclassified non-coding RNA (89 nucleotides) under Pseudomonas reinekei. Lineage: Bacteria; Pseudomonadati; Pseudomonadota; Gammaproteobacteria; Pseudomonadales; Pseudomonadaceae. The record is from RNAcentral.
UGUGGGCGCGAGCCUGCUCGCGAAAGCGUCGGCACUUUCAGCAUCUAUGUGACUGACAGGCCGUCAUCGCGAGCAGGCUCGCUCCCACA